Molecule: long non-coding RNA, 783 nt
Organism: Eriocheir sinensis (Chinese mitten crab)
Lineage: Eukaryota; Metazoa; Arthropoda; Malacostraca; Decapoda; Varunidae
Exons: 4
Source: RefSeq, a predicted model, not a curated record
GUAGAGGUUGUUGUGUUAGUGUUUCCAUGGGUAGUGUUAUGAGCCUGGUGAUAGUUUGACAAGGCUUUGGUAGAGGUUGUUGUGUUAGUGUUUCCAUGGGUAGUGUUAUGAGCCUAGUGAUAGUUUGACAAGGCUUUGGUAGAGGUUGUUGUGUUAGUGUUUCCAUGGGUAGUGUUAUGAGCCUGGUGAUAGUUUGACAAGGCUUUGGUAGAGGUUGUUGUGUUAGUGUUUCCAUGGGUAGUGUUAUGAGCCUAGUGAUAGUUUGACAAGGCUUUGGUGGAGGUUGUUGUGUUAGUGUUUCCAUGGGUAGUGUUAUGAGCCUGGUGAUAGUUUGACAAGGCUUUGGUAGAGGUUGUUGUGUUAGUGUUUCCAUGGGUAGUGUUAUGAGCCUGGUGAUAGUUUGACAAGGCUUUGGUAGAGGUUGUUGUGUUAGUGUUUCCAUGGGUAGUGUUAUGAGCCUAGUGAUAGUUUGACAAGGCUUUGGUAGAGGUUGUUGUGUUAGUAUUUCCAUGGGUAGUGUUAUGAGCCUAGUGAUAGUUUGACAAGGCUUUGGUAGAGGUUGUUGUGUUAGUGUUUCCAUGGGUAGUGUUAUGAGCCUAGUGAUAGUUUGACAAGGCUUUGGUAGAGGUUGUUGUGUUAGUGUUUCCAUGGGUAGUGUUAUGAGCCUAGUGAUAGUUUGACAAGGCUUUGGUAGAGGUUGUUGUGUUAGUGUUUCCAUGGGUAGUGUUAUGAGCCUAGUGAUAGUUUGACAAGGCUUUGGUAGAGGUUGUUGUGUUAGUGUUU